GACGAACGCUGGCGGCGUGCUUAACACAUGCAAGUCGAACGGUAAGGCUCCAGCUUGCUGGGGUACACGAGUGGCGAACGGGUGAGUAACACGUGGGUGACCUGCCCUGCACUUCGGGAUAAGCCUGGGAAACUGGGUCUAAUACCGGAUAGGACCAUGGUGUGGAUACUGUGGUGGAAAGUUUUUUCGGUGUGGGAUGGGCCCGCGGCCUAUCAGCUUGUUGGUGGGGUAAUGGCCUACCAAGGCGGCGACGGGUAGCCGGCCUGAGAGGGUGGACGGCCACAUUGGGACUGAGACACGGCCCAGACUCCUACGGGAGGCAGCAGUGGGGAAUAUCGCACAAUGGGCGGAAGCCUGAUGCAGCGACGCCGCGUGGGGGAUGACGGCCUUCGGGUUGUAAACUCCUUUCACCAUCGACGAAGGGUUUCUGACGGUAGAUGGAGAAGAAGCACCGGCUAACUACGUG
This 466-nucleotide ribosomal RNA is filed under the name uncultured bacterium. RNAcentral's name for it is "partial 16S ribosomal RNA". It matches the Rfam family "Bacterial small subunit ribosomal RNA", at positions 28 to 507 of the family's 1533-position model. The record is from RNAcentral.